UUUGCAAAGUAAGAGGUCUGGGAAUAAAAGAUGUUGCUUCGUAUUUGGGAAAUACAGUUUAUUUUACAUUGCUGUAAUAGGAUUAGAAACUAUGAAACAUUAUCCGAUAGUAACUUUUUAAAAAACUCACCGACUGCUUAAAAACUAAAAGUUGAACUACUGAAACUCAGGAUUUCCAGAGCAAUUACAAACUAUAAACAGAAGGAUAAACCUGAUCCUAAUUGUGUAGUCACUAUUAAGAUUCCAUCAAAAGCGAACAAGAAGCACAAGAUAAACCUGGAAUUUCCCAUGCCACGUUUUUUGUUUUAUCAUCCAGAGGACGCUUGCUAUCACUAGAACCCCUCCCUAUUCAAAAUUUACACACAAACCUGGAUGAGAUCAAGGAUUAACUUAUUUUACCUAAAUCUCUUGCUUUGAAUGCAGCUGCCCUUUGAUGAAUACUUUUGUGAAAACCAUGCUCAGUGAGUAUCUAUUGUGUUUUGAUUAAUAUUGCAGUUCAAACUCUUUUGAAACAGGAUGUCCUUAUAUGAAGGCUCAUUAUUCUGACACCCACAUGACUGUCUCCACUUAUAGUUUAUUCUAAAAGCUUCAACCCUGCUCAGAAUGUAGGGAUUUUGUUUGAACCCAGGAUUUUCAAAGUUGGGAGAGAAUCCAUGAAAUGAUCCCUCGUUCCUGUAAAUGUACACACAUGGGUGUGCCUGCCUACACCAUCAGAGCAUCACACACACACACCCUGCACACACAUCACCACACACACCCUCUAUGCUAAAUCUGCCUUCAAUUAACCAAAAGCACAAUUUUGCCCUGACAGAGAAGAUUUCAUUUGGUCCACAUAUGACUAGGGAGCCGAUUUCAUUUCCUGUAAAAAACCCCCUCAAACGCUGCAAAGUUACCUGACUCAGCUGCUUGUAGAAAUCAAAUUCAGUCAGAGAUAACAGCUAAUCAUUUGUCACAGUAAGAAGCAAUUCCCUGAAAUCGGAAGGGAAAACCUGCCGCUUCAAUCCGCAGGUCUGUCAGAUUGCUAGAAAUUACAUUCUGCUCUGACUAACCUCUGCACUUGGAUUGCUAACAACAAGCAGCCUGCUCUAUCAAAAGAGAAUAUCAUACAACCAGGAACCGCUUUUGAUUCGUUCUGUUCCAAUAACCUGAGAAAAGUUUAUGGACAUGCCUUGCUGCCUGGACCUCAAUUUCCACCAACCUGCACACUGUUUUGAAUUUAUAGCACUGCAGCUCCAUAGUAAUGUAGGUAAAAUUUACAAGCUGACUAUCUGCUACUUCAUUGAAAGAAAAUUAAGAGUUGAUUUUAUAACCACACGACUGAUAUUUGCCUUCUGAUACUUUGAGGAAGCAUACGGUUUGGAAGCUUCAAUUAAAAUGCCAAAAGAGAAAAAACAAAUUGAUUAACUCUCAAAAUACAAUUUAUAUUUUUUAGAAAUGCUUCCCGGGAGGGAAUUAACUUUAUACUCUUCUAUGUAAACACUAUUUGUGCAGCAUAAGUUUAAUAAAAAUGAUACAUCACCUCUCUGUUAGGUUUAUAAUUUGCAUAGCAAUAGUGAAUAUGGAAUUUUGGUCAAAAUGUUUCUCUCGUCUCUCUCUCUUUCUCUUUCUCUCCCUCCCCACAUCUCUCCUGCAAUAGUACAGGAUCGUUGGAAAUGGGUAAGUUUAAUAUCUUUCCUAAUCCCAAGAAGCCAUUAUUAUUACUUAAAGUAUAUCUCAAGGUAGGUUAUUAACCCCCAAGAAGUUACAGCUUUGAGUUAGAAUCACAUAAUCUUAAAAAAGGACAACAUAUUUUCCAAGCAGUACUUAACCAAAUACUCUUCUUUAACUCUGACUAGAUUUAUGAUGAAUACAGAUAUUGCAACUCUUAUAAGAACUUAAAGAUGGCGAACUCAGAGAUUCAGCAUUUAAGAAGGCUGCCUCUAAGACUAAGACUAAAUCCAUCCCAAGUUUGUUCCAUUGUUUUUUUUUUUUAAAGCAUUUUAUUUUCCACAGUUGGAAUCAGCUGAGGAUACAGUGUGAGCAGUGACUCUGAAUUUCCUUUGCUUUUGUCAAACUGUGUCACAACCAUAAAGUUAUUUUAACUGAGUUUAUUUGCCUAGGCAUUUCCUUUCUCUUGUAGUAGUGUAAGAGAAAGGAAAACAACCAUUUAAAAUGUAAGUACAGUUGAGUGGAUAUAAGGGACUCUUCCAGCUCCUAUCGUAAGCAGACAAUUCGAUGAUAAGUAUGUGGGCUUUUUAAGCUUUAAAAAAUAUUCAUAAAUCCCUUUUUGGAUUCUUUCAUUUCAAUUUUCUUCAAGCAAUGAGAAUUAGACAAGUUUAUAAAUUCUCAUUUCUACCUUUCUUGGGCCAGUCCUGAUUACUCUUAUCAUGGUUAAUACUGGUUCACAUGGGGGACUUCCACAAAUUCUUUAAUAUACUGUGUAUCUGGUGUAAAAAAAAUUAUGUAAAAUACAAUAAUUGAUGCUAUUAAUGUAUUUGGUGAGAUAAUCUAAUAGAUUUCCUUGAAGUAACUCUAAUAAAUUUUUCUUCCUUAGUAAAAACAACCCCUUGGUCUUAGAUUCUGCUCUUGUACAGUCAUCCGUACAGUGGCCAGGGCUUAAGCUCUGGUACUGUAUGAGUAUGCAAACAAGCAGAUUUCACAAUCAGAUGACACUGAGACUUAGGCUUACUGUGCCAGACUCUCUUUGGUGACUGUUCUCUCAUCUUGGGCCAGCCUAGGGAUCUGAGAACCUGCUGUAGUUAGAAAGAAGUCACCUGACCUCGAAGUUUCCCUCCUGUCUUUUCUCAAUCGUUCCAGCUCUCACACUCAAGAGUCAGAGCUCUCCACCACUGUCCUGGCCAGAGCAGCACCCCCCAAAGGUCUGCAUGUACCUCUGGCAAGAUAAAUGCAUAUAGAAGACAAUGCAUUUUUAGUCCCUAUAGACUUUCUAUAACGUCUACGUUUCCAGAAUCUCAUGUGUGCCUUAAAAACCCUUUUCUUCUACAUUUAAAAGGACAGUUUGAUUAUAUAAUAAUACCUGGAUUUAUGCAUUAAUCCACUGACAGCAGAGCCCGUUAAUAGACAUUUUUCCACUUGCUCCUCAUAACAAACCUUUGAAGGGGGGAGCAAUUAUUAUGAGGAUGAUUUUAUAGAUGAGUAAAUUGAAUCUCAGAAAUUUUAACUGACUUUUUCCCACAUCACCUCGUGUUAGAAUCUGGAUCUGAUUCCUGACUCCAGAAACUAUUUGUCUCUAGAUUCUAUCUGUGCUCUCUUCAUCACCUUGGGUGUACAAAUCUAAGUGAGCAAACAAAAGCCAAAAUAGGAUUUUUAACUAUUUAACAGAGUAUGGUGGUGUCAGUAUGAAAUCUUGUUCAUCUGGUUUAGUGGACAUAACUGUGCCUGGGCAGAAGAGAGAAGGAGGAGAGAAGAACAAAGGCAAGGUCAAGAGCAACUACACUGAAAUUGGGAGAAAAAGCAAGUUAGAUAUAAGGAAGAGGACCUGCUAGGAUGGUGCCUGGUCCAUGGUGGACAGUAACUGGUCUGUUUUGAAUGCAUGAAUUUUCAUCGUAGUUUUUGUGAUUGUGUUUAUGAAGACACUGGAGCAACAAUGUUCUGCAAUUCUAGAGAUCUUGAUGUGGUGGCAGCCUUGUAUCCAGUCCUAUGUGAGCUUCCUGCAGGGCAACUUUGGCAUAUUCUCAGCAAACACAGAGUUGUUGGAUUUCACAUAAGGAGACUGUUAUCAUUUGGUCCUUGACAACUUUCAUAAACAGUCACUCUUAGCUUAACAAGCAAGUGUGUAACAGUUAAAAUUGGAAGAAAAAUAAGGCCAAAAUGGCAGCUUACUACACAACUUGCAUGCAUUCUAAAAUAAAGGAAAUAUGAAUAAAAGGACAAAAAGAAAAUAAGGAUGUGUCUCAUUGCAAAGCCUGAAUCACUCUCACAUUUGAAGACCUUGAACACAAAUGCUUUAUUUCUG
RNAcentral lists this long non-coding RNA (3955 nucleotides) under Homo sapiens (human). Its description in RNAcentral is "HSALNT0306169". Lineage: Eukaryota; Metazoa; Chordata; Mammalia; Primates; Hominidae. The record is from RNAcentral.